Molecule: long non-coding RNA, 629 nt
Filed under: Nicotiana tabacum (common tobacco)
Lineage: Eukaryota; Viridiplantae; Streptophyta; Magnoliopsida; Solanales; Solanaceae
Description: long non-coding RNA (NTAB_LNC008799)
Source: RNAcentral
UUUACACUGUCUGUGUUUAUAAGUUGAACUUAUGAUAAUAAUGUGCUCAAUGAAUUGUGCCGUGGACCGCUUCCUGCAUUUUCUGUAAUAAACUGUUGAAGAGUUUUCCUGUUGGAGAUGGGUAUCCAAGUUCGUGGCCGAAGAUGGGUUACUAAGGAUUAGUCAGAAAAAGAAGAGAGGAUAAUAAUAGCUAUGAAGACUUGUAUGUACGACAUCCAUUCUUCUGCUGCGAGGGGUUUAUUUCUCUCCAGAGUUCAAGUGCUACAUUAUGAAAGCACUUACAUAUUCAUUCUCCCUUGUCAUUGUUGUUGCACAUAGGUCUUCAAAUGUUGUAUAGAUGUAUCCUCAUCGGUAUAUGUAUAGGAUUGCAUAUAGAUGAUAUUCGUAACAUGCAUCGAAAGACAAUAACAAUUUUAGGAAGAUCUUUUCGUGUUUAAAAUUUAUUUACAUGUUAAAGAUCGGGUCUGAGACGUACAUGGUGAAGAGAGUCUUAUUUCAACGAUAGUGCGAAUACUCUAUGCGUAUUCAUACCGAGACCGAUCCUUGCUAUAAACUCUUUGAUUAAUGAAACACACGAACAAAUUGAAUGAAAGCUUGUGCUGGAAUUUUUCUCACAAAUCUCAACUCAA